RNAcentral lists this ribosomal RNA (470 nucleotides) under uncultured eubacterium WR106. RNAcentral describes it as "bacterial SSU rRNA". It matches the Rfam family "Bacterial small subunit ribosomal RNA", at positions 9 to 527 of the family's 1533-position model. The record is from RNAcentral.
GAGUUUGAUCAUGGCUCAGAGCGAACGCUGGCGGCAGGCCUAACACAUGCAAGUCGAACGCCCCUUCGGGGGAGUGGCGGACGGGUGAGUAACGCGUGGGAAUGUGCCCUUUGGUACGGAACAACUGAGGGAAACUUCAGCUAAUACCGUAUGAGCCCUACGGGGGAAAGAUUUAUCGCCAUUGGAGCAGCCCGCGUUGGAUUAGGUAGUUGGUGGGGUAAUGGCCCACCAAGCCUACGAUCCAUAGCUGGUCUGAGAGGAUGAUCAGCCACACUGGGACUGAGACACGGCCCANACUCCUACGGGAGGCAGCAGUGGGGAAUCUUGCGCAAUGGGCGAAAGCCUGACGCAGCCAUGCCGCGUGUAUGAUGAAGGUCUUAGGAUUGUAAAAUACUUUCACCGGGGAAGAUAAUGACGGUACCCGGAGAAGAAGCCCCGGCUAACUUCGUGCCAGCAGCCGCGGUAAUACG